CUAACGGAGAGUUUGAUCCUGGCUCAGGACGAACGCUGGCGGCGUGCCUAAUGCAUGCAAGUCGAACGAACUCGACCUUCGGGUCAUAUGAGUGAGUGGCGAACGGGUGAGUAACACGUGAGAAACCUGCCCCGAAGUUCGGAAUAACUCAGGGAAACUUGAGCUAAUACCGGAUGCCCUCUACGAAUCGAAUGGUUUGUAGAGGAAAGAUUCAUCGCUUCGGGAGGGUCUCGCGGCCUAUCAGCUAGUUGGUGAGGUAACGGCUCACCAAGGCAUUGACGGGUAGCUAGUCUGAGAGGACGAAUAGCCACACUGGGACUGAGACACGGCCCAGACUCCUACGGGAGGCAGCAGCAGGGAAUCUUGCACAAUGGACGAAAGUCUGAUGCAGCGACGCCGCGUGGGGGAUGAAGGCCCUAGGGUCGUAAACCCCUUUCAGUGGGGACGAAAAUGACGGUACCCACAGAAGAAGGUCCGGCCAACUACGUGCCAGCAGCCGCGGUAAGACGUAGGGACCGAGCGUUGUCCGGAAUUAUUGGGCGUAAAGAGCUCGUAGGCGGUUGCGUAAGUCGGAUGUGAAAACUCAGGGCUCAACCCUGAGACGCCAUCCGAUACUGCGCUGACUCGAAUCCAGUAGGGGAGUGUGGAAUUCCUGGUGUAGCGGUGAAAUGCGCAGAUAUCAGGAGGAACACCUAUGGCGAAGGCAGCACUCUGGGCUGGUAUUGACGCU
This 730-nucleotide ribosomal RNA is filed under the name Acidimicrobiia bacterium. RNAcentral's name for it is "bacterial SSU rRNA". It matches the Rfam family "Bacterial small subunit ribosomal RNA", at positions 1 to 747 of the family's 1533-position model. Lineage: Bacteria; Bacillati; Actinomycetota; Acidimicrobiia. The record is from RNAcentral.